This 425-nucleotide ribosomal RNA is filed under the name uncultured bacterium. RNAcentral's name for it is "partial 16S ribosomal RNA". It matches the Rfam family "Bacterial small subunit ribosomal RNA", at positions 354 to 796 of the family's 1533-position model. The record is from RNAcentral.
GUGGGGAAUCUUAGACAAUGGGGGAAACCCUGAUCUAGCCAUGCCGCGUGAUCGAUGAAGGCCUUAGGGUUGUGAAGAUCUUUCGCUGGGGAAGAUAAUGACUGAACCCAGUAAAGAAGCCCCGGCUAACUCCGUGCCAGCAGCCGCGGUAAUACGGAGGGGGCUAGCGUUAUUCGGAAUUACUGGGCGUAAAGCGCACGUAGGCGGACCAGAAAGUUGGGGGUGAAAUCCCGGGGCUCAACCUCGGAACUGCCUUCAAAACUCCUGGUCUUGAGUUCGAGAGAGGUGAGUGGAAUUCCGAGUGUAGAGGUGAAAUUCGUAGAUAUUCGGAGGAACACCAGUGGCGAAGGCGGCUCACUGGCUCGAUACUGACGCUGAGGUGCGAAAGCGUGGGGAGCAAACAGGAUUAGAAACCCGUGUAGUCC